Molecule: ribosomal RNA, 497 nt
Filed under: uncultured bacterium
Lineage: Bacteria
Description: partial 16S ribosomal RNA
Rfam family: Bacterial small subunit ribosomal RNA
Source: RNAcentral
GAUGAACGCUGGCGGCGUGCCUAAUACAUGCAAGUCGAGCGAACGGACGAGAAGCUUGCUUCUCUGAUGUUAGCGGCGGACGGGUGAGUAGCACGUGGAUAACCUACCUAUAAGACUGGGAUAACUUCGGGAAACCGGAGCUAAUACCGGAUAAUAUUUUGAACCGCAUGGUUCAAAAGUGAAAGACGGUCUUGCUGUCACUUAUAGAUGGAUCCGCGCUGCAUUAGCUAGUUGGUAAGGUAACGGCUUACCAAGGCAACGAUGCAUAGCCGACCUGAGAGGGUGAUCGGCCACACUGGAACUGAGACACGGUCCAGACUCCUACGGGAGGCAGCAGUAGGGAAUCUUACGCAAUGGGCGAAAGCCUGACGGAGCAACGCCGCGUGAGUGAUGAAGGUCUUCGGAUCGUAAAACUCUGUUAUUAGGGAAGAACAUAUGUGUAAGUAACUGUGCACAUCUUGACGGUACCUAAUCAGAAAGCCACGGCUAACUACGUG